Molecule: transfer RNA, 110 nt
Filed under: Colletotrichum orchidophilum
Lineage: Eukaryota; Fungi; Ascomycota; Sordariomycetes; Glomerellales; Glomerellaceae
Rfam family: tRNA
About the family: Transfer RNA (tRNA) molecules are approximately 80 nucleotides in length. Their secondary structure includes four short double-helical elements and three loops (D, anti-codon, and T loops).
Source: Rfam by way of RNAcentral
UCCCCGAUGGCACAAUUGGCUAGCGCGUCAGACUGUUACAAUCAGAAUUGUUCCCAAGAGCAAUCAAGAUGGAUAUCUGGAGGUUGGUGGUUCGAGCCCACCUUGGGGAG